AUACGGAGGACGCGAGCGUUAUCCGGAUUCAUUGGGUUUAAAGGGUGCGCAGGCGGCCGUGCAAGUCAGCGGUGAAAGCCCGGGGCUCAACCCCGGAAGUGCCGUUGAUACUGCAUGGCUGGGAUGCGGUCGAGGCGGGCGGGACGGGGCGGGUAGCGGUGGAAUGCGUAGAUAUGCCACAGAACGCCGAUGGCGGAGGCAGCUCGCCAGGCCUGCAUUGACGCUCGGGCACGAAAGCGUGGGGAUCGAACAGGAUUAGAUACCCUGGUAGUCCACGCCGUAAACGAUGGGCGCUCGUCGUCGGCGGCAGACAGUCGGCGGCCAAGCGAAAGCGAUAAGCGCCCCACCUGGGGAGUACGGUCGCAAGGCUGAAACUCAAAUGAAUUGGCGGGG
RNAcentral lists this ribosomal RNA (393 nucleotides) under uncultured bacterium. Its description in RNAcentral is "partial 16S ribosomal RNA". It matches the Rfam family "Bacterial small subunit ribosomal RNA", at positions 523 to 918 of the family's 1533-position model. The record is from RNAcentral.